Olea europaea var. sylvestris is the source of this 1915-nucleotide long non-coding RNA. RefSeq lists it as uncharacterized. The record is from RefSeq and is a predicted model, not a curated record. NCBI's taxonomy places the organism in Eukaryota, Viridiplantae, Streptophyta, Magnoliopsida, Lamiales, Oleaceae. The transcript is spliced from 3 exons.
AUUCUACAACUUCUUUCUAUUCUCAAUCAAAAUUCAAGAUUUUAAUUUUAUCAAAUCGCUCAAGUUUAUUUCUGUAAUUUAUCUUUCUUGGUUUUAGUAUUUACUAUUAUUUAUACAGUCUCUAUUUUAUGCAUAAUUAUUUUGUACUAGUAAAAUGGUCUCCAUUUUGGGUUCCUUCAUAUACCAUCUGCCCUUGAAAUUGCCAUGCACCCACUCAAAAGUAAUUUUUUUUCAAAACUUGCUCUUAUAAUAGAUUUGAGUUAUGCCAGUUUGAUUUUCUGAUUUCUUUGGGGUAAUCAAUGGAAAUCUUGAAAAGAUGUUGAAGAAGGAAGGAAACCCAAUUUCCAAUUCUCUAUCUAAUUUAUGUUACUAUGUUUUCUUUUUUGUCACUAUCAUUGCUACUUGAUGCUAAUUUACCGGAGAGUGAACAAGGAAGAAAUAUGUUCUUAAGCUGAGUUUGAUGUAAAAGAAAUUACAUUUGCUUAAUUUUACCUUGGAGAUUGUUUGAAGAAUCUGAAUUUUACAGGGAAAAUACCAUCUCUUUGUUGUUUGUGAUCAAAUAAUAAUAGCGAUUCUUGGAAUGUGAGAAUAAGCAACAAUUGAUUUCCUAAUUUUGCUUAAACAACAUGGAAUUUCUAAUAUUACCUUCAACAAGAUAAGUUAAGAUGGUUUCCAAUAUCCAUUUUGUCCCAUGAGUUUGAUGUUGUUUGGAAGUUUGUCUAAAUUCUUCAAAACUUCAUCAACUUAUACUGAUGUGAAAUUUCCUUACUCUUAAUUCUGGCUUGGAAGGGUACCAUAUCAAUGUGGAUGGAAAACAUAUGACCUCAUUUCCAUACCACCCUGUAAGUUACAACUAUUGAGGAUCUAUGGUCUUGUGAUAUAUGGGACUUGCUCUAGUGUUCAAAUAAUGUUAUAGGGAUUCACACUUCAAGAUUCCACUGGUUUAUCUUUUAUGGGAGACAUUAAUGUCCACUCUUGUUUUCGCUGCUUCCUUGUCCACACCACACCCCAAUUUUGCACCUCAACAGAAUCUUCAUUGGUCUAACAGAUGGAAGGCUCCACCUAUUCUAGAAAGGGCUGUUAAACUGAUCCUUGGUAUUCUUUCAACGGGCAACAACUUUGCUGAACGUAUGGCUAUCAAGAAGUCUUGGAUGCAGUACAAGCUAAUAAAAUCUUCAAAUACUAUUGCUUAUUUCUUUGUUGCGCUGAUAGGUGAACCAAUUAAUAGCAUGCAUGCCACAAAUGUAACCUCUUUUAAUUCUUUUGUUGAAAGCUUCUGAAAUUUAUUCAAAAGAAUUUCUUUUGACAGCAUGCAAGAAAUGAAGUGAGUAUGGUGUUAAAUAAAGAAAUUGACUUUUUCAGAGACAUUGUGAUAGCACCAUACAUGCAUAACUAUGACUAAAGAAAAUUGCAAUAUGUAAAUAUGGGGUUAGUUGUGGAUUCAUUGAUAAAUUAAGGGUUGAUAUUAUGUUUGUACUCGAUUGAUUUUAUUUUGUACUUUAGCAGUUUAGAAGAGCUUUUGCAAAGUAUAUCACGAAAAUUGAUGACACAAGAAACAACUUGAGACCAAGAGCUUGUACAUUGGUUUUCUAAAUUAUUACCUUAAGCCUAUGCAAGGUUGUCAAUGGACAGUGACGUAUGAGAGCGAGGAAGAUUAAAAUGGAUGGUGCACAUCGUAGCAGUGGCCACCAAAGCACCAGAGGAGAAAAGCUCUGGUUUUUGAGCGACAAUUCAAGAUCAACCAACCACUCAACUGUAUGAGAAUAAUUUUAGUUUAUGAGUUAUUCUUUUUUUCUCCCACUUCCAUUUUUUUCUUUUGCACCCCCCUUUUUUCUUUUUAUAUUUUUGGUAUUUUGACUUGCAAGCAAUUCUACUUUUGUUUGAUGAUUUUUAAAUAAGAGAUUCUCUUUAUUAA